This 440-nucleotide ribosomal RNA is filed under the name uncultured bacterium. RNAcentral describes it as "partial 16S ribosomal RNA". It matches the Rfam family "Bacterial small subunit ribosomal RNA", at positions 338 to 795 of the family's 1533-position model. The record is from RNAcentral.
CCUACGGGCGGCAGCAGUAGGGAAUAUUGCUCAAUGGGGGAAACUCUGAAGCAGCAACGCCGCGUGGAGGAUGAAGGUUUUCGGAUUGUAAACUCCUUUUGUUAGAGAAGAUAAUGACGGUAUCUAACGAAUAAGAACCGGCUAACUCCGUGCCAGCAGCCGCGGUAAUACGGAGGGUGCAAGCGUUACUCGGAAUCACCGGGCGUAAAGAGGGCGUAGGGGGGAUAGCAAGUCAGAUGUGAAAUCCUAUGGCUUAACCAUAGAACUGCAUGUGAAACUGUUAUUCUAGAGUAUGGGAGAGGUAGGUGGAAUUCUUGGUGUAGCGGUAAAAUCCGUAGAGAUCAAGAGGAAUACUCAGUGCGAAGGCGACCUGCUAGAACAUAACUGACGCUGAUGCGUGAAAGCGUGGGGAGCAAACAGGAUUAGAUACCCGUGUAGUC